GAGAGAAACAGAGAAAGAAGAGAGAGAAGAGAGAGAAGAGAGAGAAGAGAGAGAAGAUAGAGAAGAGAGAGAGAGGGAGUGAAACAGAGAGAGAGAAGAGAGAGAAGAGAGAGGGAGUGAAACAGAGAAAGAGAAGAGAGAGAAGAGAGAGAGAGAAAGAGGGAGGGAGUGAAACAGAGAAAGAGAAGAGAGAGAAGAGAGAGAAGAGGGAGGGAGUGAAACAGAGAGAGAAGAGAGAGAAGAGAGAGAGAGGGAAGAGAGGGAGUGAAACAGAGAAAGAGAAGAGAGAGAAGAGAGAGAAGAGAGAGAAGAGAGAGAAGAGAGAGAAGAGAGAGAGAGGGAUGAAACAGAGAAAGAGAAGAGAGAGAAGAGAGAGAAGAGAGAGAGAGGGAGUG
This is a long non-coding RNA of Oncorhynchus tshawytscha (Chinook salmon), 395 nucleotides long. The record is from Ensembl. NCBI's taxonomy places the organism in Eukaryota, Metazoa, Chordata, Actinopteri, Salmoniformes, Salmonidae.